Molecule: ribosomal RNA, 253 nt
Filed under: uncultured bacterium
Lineage: Bacteria
Description: partial 16S ribosomal RNA
Rfam family: Bacterial small subunit ribosomal RNA
Source: RNAcentral
UACAGAGGUCCCGAGCGUUGUUCGGAUUCACUGGGCGUAAAGGGUGCGUAGGUGGCGAUGAAAGUUCGAUGUGAAAUCUCCGGGCUUAACCCGGAAAAGGCAUUGAAAACUAUGUUGCUUGAGGUUUGGAGGGGGGACUGGAAUUCUUGGUGUAGCAGUGAAAUUCGUAGAUAUCAAGCGGAACACCGGUGGCGAAGGCGGCAUCCUGGACCGAUAUUGACGCUGAUGCGCGAAAGCCAGGGGAGCAAACGGG